RNAcentral lists this unclassified non-coding RNA (1477 nucleotides) under uncultured fungus. RNAcentral describes it as "sequence contains 18S rRNA gene, ITS1, 5.8S rRNA gene, ITS2, 28S rRNA gene". The stretch from base 505 to 1477 matches the Rfam family "Eukaryotic large subunit ribosomal RNA", at positions 1 to 961 of the family's 3401-position model. The record is from RNAcentral. Lineage: Eukaryota; Fungi.
GGAAGGAUCAUUAACACUAAUCCAACAAACUCAACCAAGCCUUCAGUUGCAGCAGUAGUAUGCGCUAGCGCAAGCGGGCCGUACCGCAGCUGCAACACCAAGCAAACCUAAUUCACGCAAAGGAGUCUAACUAAGACCAACCAAAUAACCAAAUUCUCAACGAUGGAUAUCUUGGUUCCCAUAACGAUGAAGAACGCAGCGAAGUGCGAUAAGCAAUGCGAAUUGCAGAACCGUGAGUCAUCAGAUUUUUGAACGCAACUGGCGCCGGCUGGCUAUCCAGCCGGCAUGCUUGUUUCAGUGUCUGUUUUUCUCCUCACCCACAUCCUAAUGCGAGAGAUGCCCUUCUCUUGUCAAGCACGAAAGCACUCUGCGCUCUGCGAGCGGCGUCGACUUGUUCGAGUGCCGCACUCAAUGCAGCGGUCACAUUGCUCACAAUGUGAACUCAUUGAGAGCAGGGGCAGUGCAGCUCCGGCUGCGCAGUGCUUAGCCACACAACCUUUCUUUGUAUCUGAAAUCAAGCAGGAUCACCCGCUGAACUUAAGCAUAUCACUAAGCGGAGGAGAAGAAAUUAACUAAGAUUGCCUCAGUAACGGCGAGUGAAGCGGCAAAAGCCCAAACUGGAAAUCUUGCGUACCUCGUGCGCACGAAUUGUAAUCUAUAGGGGGUUCGCUCAACGGGGGCCGGCGCAGAAGUUCUCCUCGAACGGGACGCCAGAGAGGGUGACAGCCCCGUACGUGGUGCCGGCGCCUACCGAGCGGGUUCUCGAAGAGUCGGGUUGUUUUGUAUUGCAGCCCUAAGCGGGAGAUAAACUUCUUCUAAGGCUAAAUACCUAUGGGAAACCGAUAGCGAACAAGUACUGUGAAGGAAAGAUGAAAAGAACUUUGAAAAGAGAGUCAAAAGACUUGAAAUCGUUGAGAAGGAAGCGGUAGAAAUUUAUCCUUCGGCGUGCGCCGGUGCAGGAUGCCUAGCCAUUGUCGCCGUGUAGCACCGCAAGGGCUGCUGGGGGCACCUGGGGAAGCGCCCUGCUUGGUGUACGUCGUGAGGCAAGAUGAGGUCGCGCACCCGCAAAAGUGCCCUGCGCCGGGCUAGCUUGCUGGCAGCGUGGGGUGGCUGGUGGGCGUGCGGCCUGAGGAUGCUUCGUGCGAUCUUGCCAAAAUGGUUUUUACCGACCCGUCUUGAAACACGGACCAAGGAGUCUAACAUAUAUGCGAGUGUGCUGGUGGAGAAACCAACACGCGUAAUGAAGGUGAGCGAUGCCAAGCGCAAGCGGCAGCAUCGACCGACCAUGAUCCUCUGGUGAAAGGUUUGAGUAAGAGCAUAGAUGUUAGGACCCGAAAGAUGGUGAACUAUGCCUGAGUAGGGUGAAGCCAGGGGAAACUCUGGUGGAGGCUCGUAGCGGUUCUGACGUGCAAAUCGAUCGUCAAACUUGGGUAUAGGGGCGAAAGACUAAUCGAACCAUCUAGUAGCUGGUUCCCUC